GACGAACGCUGGCGGCGUGCUUAACACAUGCAAGUCGAACGGAAAGGCCCUGCUUGCAGGGUACUCGAGUGGCGAACGGGCGAGUAACACGUGGGUGCUCUGCCCUCCACUUUUUGAUAAGCCUGGGCAACUGGGUCUAAUACCGGAUACGAGCCACUUUUUGUGUGAUGGUUGGGAAGAUUUUUCGGUGUAGGAUGAGCUCGCGGCCUAUCAGCUUGUUGGCGGGUUAAUGGCCUACCAAGGCGCCGAGGGGUAGCCGGCCUGAGAGGGUGGAAGGCCACAUUGGGACUGAGAUGCGGCACAGACGCCUACGGGAGGCAGCAGUGGGGAAGAUUGCACAAGGGGUGCAAGCCGGAUGCAGAGACGCCGCGUGGGGGAUGACGGCCUUCGGGUUGUAAAAUCCUUUCGCUAGGGAAGAAGCUUUUUGUGACGGUACCUAGAUAAGAAGCACCGGCUAACUACGUG
RNAcentral lists this ribosomal RNA (465 nucleotides) under uncultured bacterium. RNAcentral's name for it is "partial 16S ribosomal RNA". It matches the Rfam family "Bacterial small subunit ribosomal RNA", at positions 28 to 507 of the family's 1533-position model. The record is from RNAcentral.